This 67-nucleotide transfer RNA is filed under the name Ictidomys tridecemlineatus (thirteen-lined ground squirrel). Its description in RNAcentral is "Spermophilus tridecemlineatus (thirteen-lined ground squirrel) tRNA". It matches the Rfam family "tRNA". Rfam says of the family: Transfer RNA (tRNA) molecules are approximately 80 nucleotides in length. Lineage: Eukaryota; Metazoa; Chordata; Mammalia; Rodentia; Sciuridae. The record is from Rfam by way of RNAcentral.
GGUUGUGGCUUAGCAGUAGAGCACUCGCCUAGAACGUGUGAGGUGCUGAGUUCGAUCCUCAGAACCA